UGGGGAAUAUUGCACAAUGGGCGCAAGCCUGAUGCAGCCAUGCCGCGUGUGUGAAGAAGGCCUUCGGGUUGUAAAGUACUUUCAGUCGGGAGGAAGGUGUCAAGGUUAAUAACCUUGGCAAUUGACGUUACCGACAGAAGAAGCACCGGCUAACUCCGUGCCAGCAGCCGCGGUAAUACGGAGGGUGCAAGCGUUAAUCGGAAUUACUGGGCGUAAAGCGCACGCAGGCGGUCUGUCAAGUCGGAUGUGAAAUCCCCGGGCUCAACCUGGGAACUGCAUUCGAAACUGGCAGGCUAGAGUCUUGUAGAGGGGGGUAGAAUUCCAGGUGUAGCGGUGAAAUGCGUAGAGAUCUGGAGGAAUACCGGUGGCGAAGGCGGCCCCCUGGACAAAGACUGACGCUCAGGUGCGAAAGCGUGGGGAGCAAACAGG
Molecule: ribosomal RNA, 429 nt
Filed under: Chloroflexota bacterium
Lineage: Bacteria; Bacillati; Chloroflexota
Description: Chloroflexi bacterium partial 16S ribosomal RNA
Rfam family: Bacterial small subunit ribosomal RNA
Source: RNAcentral